AGAACGAACGCUGGCGGCAUGCCUAAUACAUGCAAGUCGAACGAACUCUUCGGAGUUAGUGGCGCACGGGUGCGUAACGCGUGGGAAUCUGCCCCUUGGUUCGGAAUAACAGUUGGAAACGACUGCUAAUACCGGAUGAUGACGAAAGUCCAAAGAUUUAUCGCCAAGGGAUGAGCCCGCGUAGGAUUAGCUAGUUGGUGAGGUAAAGGCUCACCAAGGCAACGAUCCUUAGCUGGUCUGAGAGGAUGAUCAGCCACACUGGGACUGAGACACGGCCCAGACUCCUACGGGAGCAGCAGUAGGAAUAUUGGAC
This 313-nucleotide ribosomal RNA is filed under the name uncultured soil bacterium. RNAcentral describes it as "bacterial SSU rRNA". It matches the Rfam family "Bacterial small subunit ribosomal RNA", at positions 26 to 369 of the family's 1533-position model. The record is from RNAcentral.